AUGCUCCCAUGGAAUAACGUUGACUUCUCCACCAUCUCGGACUAUACUGGAUUUAUUAUUCGACGUGGAUUACUGCAUUUUCAGAAGUUUUCUUCUUUUCUGAUGAUUGAAGAACGACGAUGGACACGACAGUCGGAAGACGCUGUAGAGACCGGGAGGACCUUGUGUAAAUCACGGAGAGACGAAGACAGGAGACACGGACACUUGUUGAGUCCUUGGGAUGAGUCCUUGAACUGAACUGUGUCUGUGUUUUGUCCUGACGCCCUACUACGAACUUUCAUCCUCAUCCCCCAUCACACCUGCGGUGGCAAUCAGCUGGAAAAGAACUCUGUUGCAACUGCUACUCAAAACCAACUGAGUCAUGCAGUAUUGUCUGUGAUGUUGCUGUGCCAAGCAGAGGGAGGUGUCUGGACAGUUGACUUUCUUGAUUCUUUAAAUUUUUUGUCUGUUUUGGUUUGAUCUUGAGUAACCUAAUGAGUUUGUUAUUUCCUUUAUUAUAGUAGCCUACCUGGUUUACUUGUGCAUGUUUUGAAUUUACUUGUCUAUUGCCUUUUAUGCUUUCUUUCAUUGAUUUAGUUAAUUGUUAAUGUUUUACCAGUAGAUACACUGAAUUCUCAUUUUGUGGGUGAUCUUUAAACUAUGUUUAGUAUGAUCAAGAGGGAGGAAUGUAGAAUGUUGGUGUAUCUUAGUGUCUCUCUUUUGUUCACAUUUCUAGUCUAGGAACAGGCCAGGGCCUCUCAUACUGAUACAAGGUGUUAUCUCCAAUAUUCUGCCAUUGUUAUGUCUCAACAAGGUUGAACCGACCUGGUCCUCCGGGACAUAGCCAGGGCCAGAUACCUUAUCAAGGCUGAGAGUGCGUCUGUUCACGUGUUAUUCAUGUAUCCCCUUUUUGUAUAAUAAUCCCCCCAACCCUUUGGUUAGACGAAAAGAAGGUUCGACAGCCAAGGAACAAGUCAUCAAACGGCUCCUCAAUGGGUCCACUAUAGAUUAUUCAACCUAAGUCUGUAUCUCGCUGUAUUACAUCCUGGAAUAAACCAUCUAUUCAACCCUCUGAUCCAACCUGUCAAGUUGCUUUGAUUUAGACUUCAAGAAUUACUACUACGACUGAAAAUACACAACGCAGAGUCCGUCCGAACAAUUUAGAAAUAAGCUGAAAUCUAACACUCUGGAGGCCAAGCGAUUAAAAUAUUUAAUCGUGAUUAAUCGCAUUGAUGUCAUAGUUAACUCACGAGUAAUCGUGAUUAAUCGCAAAUCUUUUUUCUAUGCUAAAUAUCCCUUGAUUUCUUUGUCCCAUUAAUUGUUCUCAUUUUAAUGCUCUUAUCAACAUGGAGAAGUGCAUCGGCUUGCCUUUUGCAAAAGUUUUUUUAUUGAUAACAACAUUGGCAUAUUCUGAUCAAAACAGGACGAUACAAAAAAAAAGCCUAUAGUGCAAUUAAACGAUGAACAUACAUACCGCUUGUGAAUACAGAAUAACUAUUUCAUAUUAAAACCGACUUUAAAUGAGAUGAGAUUAAAUUAAUAGCUGAAUCCGCAUACUUCGCUCCUGGGGACUUCCGCGGAGAUGUUCCGCUCAGGCCAACCUCUUGGCAUCCGCAUCGCCUGAUUAUUGGCAUACAGCCGUAUGCGUCAUAUCCAUAACCAGUUCCUCCAGUCCAUAAUUAAACUCCCGGGAGCUUAAGUAUGCCUUCGCACGCACACCCCAGUUGGUGACUAGUAUAUAUAGAGCUCACCCAGACCACACAUAGACCAGAGUCUUCCUCCACCGAGCUUAGCCAAGGAUCUCUUAACACGUACAGAGGUCCAACUCCAGUAAAUCGACAUCAGUUUCAAAGGACCACCUAAUUACCAAAAAACAUCUGACGACGUCCACAGCAGCGCUUCAGAAGUACAAGAGUCAUUCCAUGGCUAGCACAGAGCCACCCAUGUGGACUGAUAACAAUCAGUCCACAUGGGAAAACAGUCCCUCCAGUCCAUACUUAAGCUCCCAAUCAACCAAUACCGAUUCUGGAAGAGACACAUUCUCAGACGCUUCUGGGAGCACAAACGAGUCGGCAAGGCAAAAUGUCUAUAAAAAAUGGUUGGAAAGCCUUGUCUCAACCAGAAUGCCGCUCAACCGCUGAUGAAGAGGGCCAAUAAUCAGGCGAUGCGGAUGCCAAGAGGUUGGCCUGAGCGGAACAUCUCCGCGGAAGUCCCCAGGAGCGAAGUAUGCGGAUUCAGCUAUUAAUUUAAUCUCAUCUCAUUUAAAGUCGGUUUUAAUAUGAAAUAGUUAUUCUGUAUUCACAAGCGGUAUGUAUGUUCAUCGUUUAAUUGCACUAUAGGCUCUUUUUUUGUAUCGUCCUGUUUUGAUCAGAAUAUGCCAAUGUUGUUAUCAAUAAAAAAAACUUUUGCAAAAGGCAAGCCGAUGCACUUCUCCAUGUUGAUAAGAGCAAUAGAAUGAGAACAAUUAAUGGGACAAAGAAAUCGAUAGUUAUGUUAUUAUAACUC
Gadus morhua (Atlantic cod) is the source of this 2484-nucleotide long non-coding RNA. Lineage: Eukaryota; Metazoa; Chordata; Actinopteri; Gadiformes; Gadidae. The record is from Ensembl.